AGCGAACGCUGGCGGCAUGCUUAACACAUGCGAGUCGCACGGGCAGCAAUGUCAGUGGCGGACGGGUGAGUAACGCGUAGGAACGUGUCCUGAGGUGGGGGACAACCCCGGGAAACUGGGGCUAAUACCGCAUAUGGGCUGAGGCCCAAAGCCGAGAGGCGCCUUUGGAGCGGCCUGCGUCCGAUUAGGUAGUUGGUGGGGUAAAGGCCUACCAAGCCUGCGAUCGGUAGCUGGUCUGAGAGGACGACCAGCCACACUGGGACUGAGACACGGCCCAGACUCCUACGGGAGGCAGCAGUGGGGAAUAUUGGACAAUGGGCGAAAGCCUGAUCCAGCAAUGCCGCGUGGGUGAAGAAGGUCUUCGGAUCGUAAAGCCCUUUCGACGGGGACGAUGAUGACGGUACCCGGAGAAGAAGCCCCGGCUAACUUCGUG
Molecule: ribosomal RNA, 433 nt
Filed under: uncultured bacterium
Lineage: Bacteria
Description: partial 16S ribosomal RNA
Rfam family: Bacterial small subunit ribosomal RNA
Source: RNAcentral